GCAAGUCGAGCGCCCCGCAAGGGGAGCGGCAGACGGGUGAGUAACGCGUGGGAAUCUACCCAUCCCUACGGAACAACUCCGGGAAACUGGAGCUAAUACCGUAUACGCCCUUCGGGGGAAAGAUUUAUCGGGGAUGGAUGAGCCCGCGUUGGAUUAGCUAGUUGGUGGGGUAAAGGCCUACCAAGGCGACGAUCCAUAGCUGGUCUGAGAGGAUGAUCAGCCACAUUGGGACUGAGACACGGCCCAAACUCCUACGGGAGGCAGCAGUGGGGAAUAUUGGACAAUGGGCGCAAGCCUGAUCCAGCCAUGCCGCGUGAGUGAUGAAGGUCUUAGGAUUGUAAAGCUCUUUCACCGGAGAAGAUAAUGACGGUAUCCGGAGAAGAAGCCCCGGCUAACUUCGUGCCAGCAGCCGCGGUAAUACGAAGGGGGCUAGCGUUGUUCGGAAUUACUGGGCGUAAGGCGCACGUAGGCGGAUAUUUAAGUCAGGGGUGAAAUCCCAGAGCUCAACUCUGGAACUGCCUUUGAUACUGGGUAUCUUGAGUAUGGAAGAGGUAAGUGGAAUUGCGAGUGUAGAGGUGAAAUUCGUAGAUAUUCGCAGGAACACCAGUGGCGAAGGCGGCUUACUGGUCCAUUACUGACGCUGAGGUGCGAAAGCGUGGGG
Molecule: ribosomal RNA, 661 nt
Filed under: uncultured soil bacterium
Lineage: Bacteria
Description: bacterial SSU rRNA
Rfam family: Bacterial small subunit ribosomal RNA
Source: RNAcentral